RNAcentral lists this long non-coding RNA (362 nucleotides) under Struthio camelus australis. RNAcentral describes it as "lncRNA (ENSSCUG00000005266.1)". The record is from RNAcentral. Lineage: Eukaryota; Metazoa; Chordata; Aves; Struthioniformes; Struthionidae.
AGGAGAUGAUGCCUAUGUGAAUCAUGCUUGCCAAGCCGGUGUAUUGCCAGAAAAGAUAUGUGGCUUUCUGGCCUGCCACAGUUGUGACCAGUUAGUAUUGCUGUUGCUGUUUUUGUCUUUAUCUGCCCAAGAGUGAACAUCCGUCAUAGCGGGUUCUCUCAAAUGCUUUCUGCCUUGCUUUGUUUGUCUCUCCUGGAUCUUUAGCCCCGCUUUCAGCACUGGUUUGACCUGACUUUAGAGACCACUUGAGAUGGACAUGCAAUGGGGCAUAUGGGGAAUGUCCCUAGGUGGAUGUCUCUGGGCCUGUCUGCUGUGCCUCUGCCACAACACACAAGAGCAUGACAGUCUCUGAGCUUGCACCA